This 406-nucleotide ribosomal RNA is filed under the name uncultured bacterium. RNAcentral's name for it is "partial 16S ribosomal RNA". It matches the Rfam family "Bacterial small subunit ribosomal RNA", at positions 28 to 526 of the family's 1533-position model. The record is from RNAcentral.
AUUGAACGCUGGCGGCAGGCCUAACACAUGCAAGUCGGGCGAGCGGCGGACGGGUGAGUAAUGUAUGGGGAUCUGCCUGAUGGCGGGGGAUAACUACUGGAAACGGUAGCUAAUACCGCAUACCAUCAGAUGUGCCCAGAUGGGAUUAGCUAGUAGGUGGGGUAAUGGCUCACCUAGGCGACGGUCCCUAGCUGGUCUGAGAGGAUGACCGGCCACACUGGAAGUGAGACACUGUUCAGAGUGGUACGGGAGGCGGCGAUGGCAAAUAUGGCGCAAUGGGGGCGAGCCUACUGCGGGGACACGGCGUGGGGGAUGGAGGCGUACGGGUUGUAAACCUCUUUCGCUGUCGAUCGGUUAGGUGGAGAAGAAGCGCCGGCUAACUACGUGCCAGCAGCCGCGGUAAUAC